ACCAAAGGCGAAGGCAUUGCACUGGGCUAGCACUGACCCUGAGAGACGAAAGCGUGGGGAGCAAAACGGAUUAGAUACCCGUGUAGUCCACGCCCUAAACGAUGAAUGCUAAAUGUUCGGGGAUUCGACCCCCUGGGUGUUACAGCUAACGCGUUAAGCAUUCCGCCUGGGAAGUACGGCCGCAAGGCUAAAACUCAAAGGAAUAGACGGGGAUCCGCACAAGCGGUGGAGCGUCUGGUUUAAUUCGACAGUAAGCGUGGUACCUCACCAGGGUUUGACAUCCCUUGACAGCCUUGGAAACAAGGUUUCCUUCGGGCAAGGUGACAGGUGCUGCAUGGUCGUCGUCAGUUCGUGCCGUGAGGUGUUCCGUUAAGUCGGGAAACGAACGAAACCCCUAUUGCAUGUUACAAUUUCUCAUGCAAGACUGCCCGGAUAUACUGGGAGGAAGGUGGGGAUGACGUCAGAUCUGCAUGGUCCUUAUACCCUGGGCGACACAGGCGCUACAAUGGCAGAGACAAAGGGUUGCAAAACCGCAAGGUGAAGCUAAUCCCAAAAACUUUGUCUAAGUUCGGAUUGAAGGCUGCAAUUCGCCUUCAUGAAGCUGGAAUCGCUAGUAAUCGUGAAUCAGCCACGUCACGGUGAAUAUGUUCCCGGAUCUUGUACUCACCGCCCGUCACACCAAGAGAGUUGGUAGCUCCCGAAGCGUCCCGUUUUAGCGGGGCAUCACGGAGAGAUCAGCGAUAGGGGUGAAGUCGUAACAAGGUAACCAAGGGCGAA
Molecule: ribosomal RNA, 777 nt
Filed under: uncultured organism
Description: bacterial SSU rRNA
Rfam family: Bacterial small subunit ribosomal RNA
Source: RNAcentral